Long non-coding RNA from Vigna angularis (adzuki bean), 1339 nucleotides. RefSeq lists it as uncharacterized. Lineage: Eukaryota; Viridiplantae; Streptophyta; Magnoliopsida; Fabales; Fabaceae. The transcript has 3 exons. The record is from RefSeq and is a predicted model, not a curated record.
ACUCACUCACUGACCCUUCCUUUCUUCCUUCAUUUCGGAUAAAAAAAAACCCACAAAUCCUUUCUUCUCCCUUUUUCUCAGUAGAAGAAACCCUCAGAUGGUUUUGUUUCCUCAUCUCACACCCUUACUUCUUUCUUCUUCCUUCCAUCCUUGUAGCCACGCGUUCUUCCUUUGCCACGUCUUCAUUCAGACCGCAUCAUCAGGCACGUUCAUUUUCUUCUCGAGAGCUCACCAUCAACGGGUUGGUGCAAAGGUUAUCGCCAUUAGGUCUUGGUAUAAUCUUUCUUGAUCUCUAAUUCCUCGUUAUUUUGCUGCGUUUCAUUCUCGAAGAAGCUUCAAGGUCCUUUAAAUCAGCUCGCGUCGCGCAUUCAGGCCUCUUCCUUGGAGCCUCUUCCAUCAGGUGGUAUUCAGAGCUCUGAUUCUUUCACGCAAUUCAAAAGCUAAGUAUCUCUCUCCUUUGUGUCGUGUUUUCAUUUGAUUCAUUAUUGUGUUGACACUGUUUCGCAUCUCUGUUUUGAUGUUUUUCUCUAAUUCAUGUAAGGUUGAAUUUGUAUUGGCAUGUUUUGUCUUAAUUCUGAGUAUUAUAUGUUAAUUCUGCUCAUAAACUGUUUGUUUAAAUGUCUAAGAGAGCUAAUAUGAUAUUGUUCAUUCUUGAUAACUUACUACUCUUCAUAUUAAAAUGCGCUCUCUGUAUCCUCACGCCAAAGGCAUACUGUGGCAUAUUGUUAGGGCUCAAAGAGAAAGGCAUCAACGUUGCAAUCGCUGCUCGCUCACCAACUGCUGACAUAGCAACAAUUUUCCUUAACAAAUUGGGCUUCUCGCCGUUGAUCAAUCUUUUUCAUUUUUCUUUGUAAUGGAGGUUUCUUUUUGUCAUGUUAAUACAGGGUUUGAUCACAAAUAAUGAAAGGCAUUAGAGGAGCCAUUUGUGUAUGAAGAGGAUAAUUAUAGUGGUGUUGCAUGUUUGAAUGUGAUAGCAAAACGAAUUGUUACAGUUUUUGCUUCUUUAAGAGGAUAAUUAUAGCGGUAAUACUAGGAUUAGACAUCCUUUUUUCUAAUUCUGAAUGUUUUUUUUUUCUUUUGGAAUGAUGGAAUUUUGACAAUGAAGUAUAUUUUAUAGGUAUGUAUUUUUAAUGUAUGUUAAUUAUGAUGCAGGGGCUAGUUUUUUAAACAUUAUAGUUUGUUCUGUCAUCCAACAUGAUUUGAUUUUUAUCUCUGCAGUCAUGUCGGUAUCCAGGUGGAAGAUAAUAUAUCUAUUCUAUGCUUAGAUUUAUGAUGAAUGCGGUUUGAGAUUGCAGAGCUGGUGGAGAAUUUGAAUGCAUCAAAUAGUCAAGUAAAUUUC